Molecule: small nucleolar RNA, 73 nt
Organism: Perognathus longimembris pacificus (Pacific pocket mouse)
Lineage: Eukaryota; Metazoa; Chordata; Mammalia; Rodentia; Heteromyidae
Product: small nucleolar RNA SNORD103/SNORD85
Exons: 1
Source: RefSeq, a predicted model, not a curated record
ACUGGCAAGGAUGAUAAACACUUGCCCUCACUUAGACAAUAGUUCAUUGAUGAGAGCAUUGCUCUGAGCCAGU